AUAAGGAAAAGAAAAAGAAGAUUGCAUUGAAAUGGGAGAGCCCGAAGGGAAUUUUCCGAGUUCGAUAUUUGGAAGAAGGGGAUAUAAUUUUUUUCGCAACCAGAAUGGGGUUAGGGUUCUUGGUGGGAGUUCGCAUUGCGAUUUGAAGGUUGGUUUUGGAAAGAAAUUUGAAGGCAACAGAGUGCACUGAAAUUUCGUCUGGUAUAGUUGGUGCACUUGGAAGAAGGGGAAGUGGUGUGGAUCUUCGAUUUCGGUGGUGCAUUGGCGAGGUUUUUGUUCGUCUGGUCUUAACCACCCUCACUUCACUGCUCAGGGUUUUCUUCACUCGCGCCGUUCACACUUUACUUCAUUUAAUUUUGUUGAAUCAGUAUACAUUUUGAACUUUCUCGGAAGCUCAGUGUUUCCGUUGGACAUGGAAACUGAUGAAUCCUCUCGCAUGCUUCCCUUCCAGCUUCAAUUUGAUAAACCCCUCGCAUCUCAGAUCACGAUUGCGGAGUGGAAUCCGGAGAAGGACUUGCUCGCUAUGGUUACUGACGACUCCAAGAUCCUGCUCCAUCGUUUCAAUUGGCAACGGUUAUGGACCAUAGCUCCAGGAAAAUGCAUCACAUCCUUGUGUUGGCGUCCUGAUGGAAAAGCAAUUGCUGUUGGGCUUGACGACGGGAUGGUGUCACUGCAUGAUGUUGAGAAUGGAAAGCUGCUAAGAAGCUUAAAAUCACAUUGCGCAGCCAUUAUAUGUCUCAACUGGGAGGAGGAAAGUCAGCUCAUUACAGAUGACCAUGGUUAUACUUCUAAGUAUGAAGAUAGAACCUCUCGUUUCUUUCCUCCUGCUCCAAGAGUUCCUCGGAUGCCUGGGUUGGUUUCUGGCGAUAAUGGGUUCAUGGAUGAUAGUGAAGAUUCAUUUCAGGAGCUGUCAAAUUCUUCUCACCAACGAUUCAACAUCCUAUGCAGUGCAGAUAAAGAUGGAAAUAUUUGUUUUAGUAUAUUUGGAAUCUUCCCUAUAGGGAAAGUUAACAUACACAACCUCACUUUUCCUACUUGCCAUGAUGGUGCAGAAACAACUAACAGAGUUUCAAAUGCUUCUAUACAGAAGGUUGCAUUAUCAAAAGAUCUCUGUCGUUUGAUAGUCAUGUGCUCAGGGGAUCUUGUUAAAGUUGGUGCUGACUUGGGAGAAACUAACAUGGCUGGGUACAAUGAGCAUGGUCUGCAUUGCUUAGCCCUGAACACUACUAUAUUUUGGAAUAGGAAAAAUGAGCUUCAUCAAGUAGCUCAACAAGCUUCUAACAUUGAGGAUUUGACUGAGGUUGUUCGCACAUCAUUAUCAGUUAUGUGUAGGCAGUGGUCUGAUGCCAUGAACACAUUCCAGGAGAAAUUUAGCUCUUUGUCUACUCUGAUUAUAAAUCAUGGACUUGAUUCCUCACCCCAAGAGGAGCUUCUGAGCCUUUUGGGUGGUGCAAGGACUAGCCCACCAGUUCAUCAAUUUCUCGUUAACACUCUGGGAGAAGUGGGUGUCAAGCGUAUUUCAAAGGUUCUCUCUGGUGCAGGCAAAGAACUUCAACGUAUUGUCUUGGACCACCUCCAGCCUGCUGUAGAAGUUAUUGGAUUCAGAAUAGGAGAACUAAGAGGGCUUUCAAGAUGGCGAGCACGCUAUCACAGCAUUGGCUUGGAUGAAUCACUUAUUAACAAUGCAACAGAAAAGGCUGGUACGUUACUUGUACAAGUUGAACGAUUUAUGAGGGUUCUUUCAUCUGUUGUGCAGCAGUACUCAAACUUCUUCAACUGGCUAUUAAAGUGUAUAAAAUUACUCAUGUCAGAACCAAGUGACCAGCUUCUACCGUAUAACAGUGAACUUGUUAUUAUAUUCUUGAAGUUUCUAUACGAGCAAGAUCCAGUUAAACAAUUGCUGGAAAUAUCUGAAAUAGAAUAUGAAGUUGAAAUUGAUUUGGAAACAAUGCAAAGAGUUAGAGAAUUGGUUCAAUUUGGGGGAUUUUCAGACAUUGAGUAUCUAAGGAGAACAUUGGCUAAAGAAUUUCAGUUGAUGGAACUAAGCUUUAAAGAGGCUUUUCAAAUGCCUUUUACCACAAUAUCAAGAAAGAUACUCUGCGAGGAUAUACUACCAUUGUUUCCUGUACCAACUUUGCCAAAAUCAUCUUCAUUCAUGAGAAUUCCCACUUCAGUAUCAUAUUAUGAGGAUUCUUCUGGAGCUUCUGUGACACCUCAAACUGGUCAAAACCAGUUUAUUGAUUAUGUAUCUUUCCAAGUACCUGAUGAGUGUUUCUCGGAUAUUAUAAAUUGCCUAUGCAUAGUUAGAGGAUUCAUGCAUGAUUCACACUGCCUAAAGAAGGGGUGCAGUACGUUGGAAGCGGUGCUGUUACAUGUUCCUGUUGAUUAUCAAUGUGUGGAUCUGUCUUUGUAUAAGGAUAGUCAAAUUGUCUUGUUACUAAACAAAGUUACUAACACAUCAGAAAGUGCUGGUGAUGGUUGUAUGGUGAUUCUGCAAGCAAGUGAUCUACCGUAUAUCUCUAUAUCAAGAUCUGCUCAUAUAGAUGUCUGGAGAUUACCAGAACUUAAGGAUUCUGUUGCUUACUUGCAUAUUGAGGAUGAGAAAGCUCGCACCAUCCCACAUUCUGUAGUUGCUCCCUUGGCAGUUAGUGCAUCUAGAGGCGUGGCUUGUGUAUUUGCUGCAAGAAAGCGUGCUCUGGUCUACAUUUUGGAAGAAGAUGAAGAUGAGGUCUCGGAUGCAGAAUAAUUCGCCAAUUCAUUUUUCCUUCGUAACCAUUUUGUGCUUUUGUUUCGGCCAGUAAACAGUUCAGCCCAAAAAGUAGAAUAAGAGGGAACAACAGAGUAAAUAAUCGACAGUACCGGUUCGUGAGUGGUAAGUAUUGCUCCAUUUUCAUCUGGGCAGUUUCUUCAUGCGUCUUACCAAAUUUCUUCCAAUAUUUUAUCAUUUCAGAUUAUUAUUUUUUGGAAUACACUAAAUUAAUUCCGGAAACAUUUUUCUAGAAGACAUUUAUAAACAUUCAUCCACUUUUAUUCCGGAUAGAGUAUAAAUUUUUUUGAAAUUUAUUGUAUUCCGAGAAAUGAAAUCUAGAAGGAUGAAGUGGAUGGAGAAAUUUGAUAGAGUAAUGGAAGAAAUUAAUUUUUAUCUGUCAUAUUCGUAGAUGAAUUAAAUGUUAGGCGAUGGAACAAAAAUUAAACUUAAAUAUGACAUAUUUAAAUGCAAUAAUUGACUGGCUUUCGUGAAGUAAUGCUUUCAAUUGUUAAAUAGAUUUAACUACGCUUUUGCGUUAUUUUCCUUGCCAUUACAUUGAUAAAUGUAUCAAAUAUUUUCAUGCGAUAUUUUGAGUUGAU
Molecule: RNA transcript, 3348 nt
Organism: Vigna umbellata (rice bean)
Lineage: Eukaryota; Viridiplantae; Streptophyta; Magnoliopsida; Fabales; Fabaceae
Gene: APC4
Gene name: Transducin/WD40 repeat-like superfamily protein
Source: RefSeq, a predicted model, not a curated record